This 86-nucleotide transfer RNA is filed under the name Peptococcaceae bacterium. Its description in RNAcentral is "tRNA-Leu". It matches the Rfam family "tRNA". Rfam says of the family: Transfer RNA (tRNA) molecules are approximately 80 nucleotides in length. Their secondary structure includes four short double-helical elements and three loops (D, anti-codon, and T loops). Further hydrogen bonds mediate the characteristic L-shaped molecular structure. tRNAs have two regions of fundamental functional importance: the anti-codon, which is responsible for specific mRNA codon recognition, and the 3' end, to which the tRNAs corresponding amino acid is attached (by aminoacyl-tRNA synthetases). tRNAs cope with the degeneracy of the genetic code in two manners: having more than one tRNA (with a specific anti-codon) for a particular amino acid; and 'wobble' base-pairing, i.e. permitting non-standard base-pairing at the 3rd anti-codon position. The record is from RNAcentral. Lineage: Bacteria; Bacillati; Bacillota; Clostridia; Eubacteriales; Peptococcaceae.
GCCGAAGUGGUGGAAUGGCAGACGCGCUGCGUUCAGGGCGCAGUGGGUGAAAACCCGUGUGGGUUCAAGUCCCACCUUCGGCACCA